Molecule: long non-coding RNA, 207 nt
Organism: Rhodamnia argentea
Lineage: Eukaryota; Viridiplantae; Streptophyta; Magnoliopsida; Myrtales; Myrtaceae
Exons: 2
Source: RefSeq, a predicted model, not a curated record
CAACUCAUGUUUUAUUGCUCGUAAUAUCCUAAUGCUAGUUAUUUUACUUGGGUUGCAGGAUAAAACAUUUCAACAUCCUUAUUUAUCGGCCCUGGGUUCGCAUACAAAUUAUUGGAGGGAUCACGACACUGCCCUAUUUAUAUUGAAACACUUGUAUCGAGAAAUACCCGAGGAACGAUAUUUCUCUCGAGACCCUGAAGCAUCUGG